This is a non-coding RNA of Paramuricea clavata, 363 nucleotides long. The record is from the annotation of a GenBank genome assembly. Lineage: Eukaryota; Metazoa; Cnidaria; Anthozoa; Malacalcyonacea; Plexauridae.
CAUGCACGAAUUCUUUUAACCAAUCUAGACUGACUACUGUUAUAAACUAGUGCUUUGUUAAAAAAAAGGGAAAUUUCUUAAAUCAUGUCCGUGUCCGUUCUAUUAAUUCUGUGUUGAAAGGAUAUACGUGUGGCAAUGAAAUUUAAGUUAAUCUGGUAGCACAGAAACUAUAAUGUUUUUUACACCUUUUCUGUAUGUCUUUUCCUAUUCGAGAUUUAUAUAAAUUUGGUUAAUCGUAUAGAGUUCAUUGGGAUUGUUUUGUUUCAAAUUCCCAUCGCAUUAUAUACUGACUACUGUAUUUUCUCUUUGAUUUGAAGAAUUUUGCUCCGCGCGCAAAAUUCCGCCUAGUGGUGAACCGGCUUA